CGAAGGAACACAUCCGUCUCCUCCGCCGCCUCCCAUUUCCCCAAGAACCUCUCGUCUUUUACCCAUUAAUCAGACGGUCCGGAUUUCUCCUUUCGUGGACCAAUCCAUUAAUCUCUCCAUCCCUCUCUUCCCCUCGCCGCUCUCCCUCUGCCCGCUCCAAGAAAAAAGCCGAAGCCGGAAGAAAGAUAGCAAGAAAGCGAUUAAAGGCUUCUUCCCCGCCGCUGUCGCUCUCCAUCUGCGGUCACUCUCGUUCUUUAAGCGAAUCGAAUCACCCUUUUAGCCCGCCAUCGGCCCUCCAAGAUUCCCAUAAAUAACUCCGCCGUGUCUUCUUUCUUCUUCUCGAGCGGAGAUCGGAACCUGUGAUGGCGGGAUUCCAAGAAGCAUCGUUGAACCCUAGAGACUGAAGAAACCCUAGAUCUCGAUUGGUUUACUCUUUGUUGCUGCUCCCAUUGGAUCGGAGAACGGGGCCAUGGAGAGCGUCGCGAGCUCGAGACUCGUGGCGGCGUGCGUGCUGGGGGGCCUGGUGCUCGGGGCCGCCGUGCUGGCGGGGAAACUGAGCCGGGGGUUGCCGGUGCUGCCGCCGCUGGGGAUCCGUCGGAGGAAGAAGAAGCCCGUCCGGGUGUACAUGGACGGGUGCUUCGACAUGAUGCACUACGGCCACUGCAACGCGCUGCGCCAGGCGCGAGCCCUCGGCGAUGAGCUCGUCGUCGGGGUCGUGAGCGACGACGAGAUCACGGCCAACAAGGGGCCACCGGUCACGCCCCUCCACGAGAGGAUGAUAAUGGUAGGUGCUGUGAAAUGGGUGGAUGAGGUCAUUCCAAAUGCUCCUUAUGCUAUCACAGAAGAGUUCAUGAACAAGCUGUUUACUGAGUAUAAUAUAGAUUACAUUAUCCAUGGGGAUGAUCCUUGCCUACUGCCAGAUGGUACUGACGCAUAUGCCCUUGCUAAGAAGGCUGGUCGUUAUAAGCAGAUCAAAAGAACCGAAGGAGUGUCAAGCACAGAUAUUGUUGGUCGUAUGCUUCUUUGUGUGAGGGAGAGAUCAAUUUGUGAUAGUCAUAAUCAUUCUUCUUUACAAAGGCAGUUCAGCCAUGGACAUGGCCAGAAAAUUGAUGAUGGUGGAUCUAGUAGUGGAACUCGGAUAUAUCAUUUCUUGCCAACAUCUCGGCGAAUAGUGCAAUUUUCGAAUGGGAAGGGGCCUGGUCCGGAUGCUCGCAUAGUUUACAUUGAUGGUGCAUUUGAUCUGUUUCAUGCAGGACAUGUCGAGAUACUGCGGAUUGCUCGAGGACUUGGAGAUUUCUUGCUUGUGGGGAUUCAUACUGAUCAGACAAUCAGUUCUACUCGAGGAGCCCAUCGGCCGAUCAUGAAUCUUCAUGAAAGAAGCUUGAGUGUUUUGGCCUGUCGUUAUGUAGAUGAAGUGAUUAUUGGUGCCCCUUGGCAAGUUUCAAAAGACAUGCUCAAGCAGUUUUUUGUGAGCUUCAUUUCUUUUUAAUUUUCAUUGAGAUUAUGCUGCAUACCUUCUUGAGAUUACUACCUUCAACAUCUCGAUGGUUGUCCAUGGAACAAUUGCAGAAAAUAUGGAUUUUCUGAAGGAGAAAUCUAAUCCAUAUGCUGUUCCAAUGGCUAUGGGCAUCUAUCUGCAAAUAGAAAGCCCCCUCGACAUCACAACUAGCACGAUCAUCAGGAGGAUUGUUUCAAAUCAUGAAGCGUAUCAGAAAAGGAAUGAGAAGAAGGAAGCUAGUGAAAGGAGGUACUAUGAGGGUAAAACUUACGUAUCUGGAGAUUAACUCCCAGGAAAUUUGGCAGCAGAAAUUCCUUUUGAAAACCUUUCAUUUCUAACACACAUAGGUUUCAAACAUCAUGCCAUCAUGGAGUGGUGGAAAUUUUGCAUUGGUUUGACUUUCUUAAAGUCUAUAGGCAUUUAGAUAUAGCUUAGAUAAUAGGCGGGCAGACUGCUGCUAGCGUUGGAGUAAUAGGAUUUCUUGGGCUCUUCUUUUCUUUUGCUUCCACAAUUUUUUUCGUCUUCCUAUUGUACCGUGCUAUUUCCAGCACAGAGCCAUUUGUAUUAUUAGAUAGCGGAGACUGUAUUUAUUUUCCUACUUCAAUGUGAUCAUCUUAUAAUCUUCAUAUA
This is an RNA transcript of Phoenix dactylifera (date palm), 2128 nucleotides long. It is a transcript of the gene named ethanolamine-phosphate cytidylyltransferase-like, with no coding region annotated. Lineage: Eukaryota; Viridiplantae; Streptophyta; Magnoliopsida; Arecales; Arecaceae. The record is from RefSeq and is a predicted model, not a curated record.